CGGAGUUGUGGUUUGCACGAUAUGUAAUCUUGUCUUUUCUUCUUAGUUUCAGGGUACAAAAAUCUUUUAGACCACCGGAUAGAUUCAUUUCCCACAAUAUAGAAAUGCAUUUCUAUUUUCCGAAUUCCAUAUGGAUAGAAAGUCUCCCUUUUUUUUUGUUACUUUAACAACUGAACAUAUACUUAGAUAGAAAAAUUAGAUAGAAAAAUGUCUAUGGAAUAUAUUUCCUACAUGAAUAUCAAA
RNAcentral lists this long non-coding RNA (243 nucleotides) under Prunus persica (peach). RNAcentral's name for it is "long non-coding RNA (PPER_LNC000323)". Lineage: Eukaryota; Viridiplantae; Streptophyta; Magnoliopsida; Rosales; Rosaceae. The record is from RNAcentral.